RNAcentral lists this ribosomal RNA (751 nucleotides) under Chaetothyriales sp. A598. RNAcentral describes it as "SSU rRNA". It matches the Rfam family "Eukaryotic small subunit ribosomal RNA", at positions 102 to 865 of the family's 1831-position model. The record is from RNAcentral. Lineage: Eukaryota; Fungi; Ascomycota; Eurotiomycetes; Chaetothyriales.
UUAAUCAGUUAUCGUUUAUUUGAUAGUACCUUUACCUGGAUAACCGUGGUAAUUCUAGAGCUAAUACAUGCUAAAAACCUCGACUUCGGAAGGGGUGUAUUUAUUAGAUAAAAAACCAAUGCCCUUCGGGGCUCCUUGGUGAAUCAUAAUAACUUAACGAAUCGCAUGGCCUUGCGCCGGCGAUGGUUCAUUCAAAUUUCUGCCCUAUCAACUUUCGAUGGUAAGAUAGAGGCUUACCAUGGUCUUAACGGGUAACGGGGAAUUAGGGUUCUAUUCCGGAGAGGGAGCCUGAGAAACGGCUACCACAUCCAAGGAAGGCAGCAGGCGCGCAAAUUACCCAAUCCCGACACGGGGAGGUAGUGACAAUAAAUACUGAUACGGGGCUCUUUUGGGUCUCGUAAUUGGAAUGAGUACAAUCUAAAUCCCUUAACGAGGAACAAUUGGAGGGCAAGUCUGGUGCCAGCAGCCGCGGUAAUUCCAGCUCCAAUAGCGUAUAUUAAAGUUGUUGCCGUUAAAAAGCUCGUAGUUGAACCUUGGGCCUGGCUGACCUGUCCUCCUAAUCGAGCGCACGGGUUCGGUCGGGCCUUUCCUUCUAGGGAACCCCAUGCCCUUCACUGGGUGUGGUGGGGAACUAGGACUUUUACCUUGAAAAAAUUAGAGUGUUCAAAGCAGGCCUUUGCUCGAAUACAUUAGCAUGGAAUAAUAGAAUAGGACAUCGGUUCUAUUUUGUUGGUUUCUAGGACCGCCGUAA